UGGGGAAUAUUGGACAAUGGGGGAAACCCUGAUCCAGCAAUGCCGCGUGAGUGAAGAAGGCCUUAGGGUUGUAAAGCUCUUUCGCCCGCGAAGAUAAUGACGGUAGCGGGAGAAGAAGCCCCGGCUAACUCCGUGCCAGCAGCCGCGGUAAUACGGAGGGGGCUAGCGUUGUUCGGAAUUACUGUGCGUAAAGCGUACGUAGGCGGAUGCGCAAGUUGGGGGUGAAAUCCCGGGGCUUAACCUCGGAAUUGCCCUCAAAACUGCACGUCUUGAGACCGAGAGAGNUAAGGGGAAUUCCUAGUGUAGAGGUGAAAUUCGUAGACAUUAGGAAGAACACCACUGGCGAAGGCGCCUUACUGGCUCGGUACUGACGCUGAGGUACGAAAGCGUGGGGAGCAAACA
RNAcentral lists this ribosomal RNA (402 nucleotides) under uncultured bacterium. RNAcentral describes it as "bacterial SSU rRNA". It matches the Rfam family "Bacterial small subunit ribosomal RNA", at positions 355 to 774 of the family's 1533-position model. The record is from RNAcentral.